UAAGAUAUAUUUACACGAAACAUUGAAGACACAAGGAUAAACACAAGCAGUUUAUUCACUGUCCACCAUCGAUAGCAAAAAAUCUAACAAACCAAAAAAUAGAUAAACUAAUUCUCACGCCAUUGAAAUUUGCAUUUGGUACAACGAUAAAAGGUACUCAUAGGUUCAUCUGCACUACGAAUUUGAAGUUGGAAGAAGUAAGCACGAUUAUUGUCACAUUUUGUGUUUUCACAAGUGACUUCGGUUUGCUGAUUAGAUUCAAAAGCUUCUUCUCCACCUAAUACAUCGUCAACUUCCUUUUGGGCAAAUUCGUGACGACUGUAGAGAAAAGUAGAAAUUGGAAAAUGAUAAGGACAUGUUCUACAGUCGAACGCAUUCCUUCCUUCCUCGUCAACCGCGACAAUUAAGUGAUUUCCACAAGUAGGACAAAACUGCAUUAUGAAAGCUCAAGUAAUAAUAAAGUGAUGAGCCCUCUUAGUGGUUUACUCCAUAUGUUAUAAUUUUGCAAACUAAAUUGGUUGUUUACAAUGUCAUGACUUUAAAAGUAAAUUAUUAACCGACAACUUCAUAAUCUAC
This is a non-coding RNA of Schizosaccharomyces pombe (fission yeast), 576 nucleotides long. The record is from the annotation of a GenBank genome assembly. NCBI's taxonomy places the organism in Eukaryota, Fungi, Ascomycota, Schizosaccharomycetes, Schizosaccharomycetales, Schizosaccharomycetaceae.